UGGGCAAAGAUGACUUGCGUAGAAUAUCUUUGUGUCCCUUCUUAGCAUUCAUAAUCCGUCUCUCUGCUUGAGCUUCCACUUCCAGAUCUUCUUCAAAGCGGCGGCGAGAACGACGAGAGUCAAAAUAAUCCGGUUCAUCAUCCUCAUCAAGAGCACCCUCCAAGAACCCAGGCGAGAGCUGACGCCUCCGCUCUACAGUUUGUGUAUACUUUCGGCUAACCUUUUCUCUCUUCCG
Molecule: unclassified non-coding RNA, 235 nt
Filed under: Hevea brasiliensis (rubber tree)
Lineage: Eukaryota; Viridiplantae; Streptophyta; Magnoliopsida; Malpighiales; Euphorbiaceae
Source: RNAcentral